This 73-nucleotide transfer RNA is filed under the name Ovis aries (sheep). It matches the Rfam family "tRNA". Rfam says of the family: Transfer RNA (tRNA) molecules are approximately 80 nucleotides in length. Their secondary structure includes four short double-helical elements and three loops (D, anti-codon, and T loops). Further hydrogen bonds mediate the characteristic L-shaped molecular structure. tRNAs have two regions of fundamental functional importance: the anti-codon, which is responsible for specific mRNA codon recognition, and the 3' end, to which the tRNAs corresponding amino acid is attached (by aminoacyl-tRNA synthetases). tRNAs cope with the degeneracy of the genetic code in two manners: having more than one tRNA (with a specific anti-codon) for a particular amino acid; and 'wobble' base-pairing, i.e. permitting non-standard base-pairing at the 3rd anti-codon position. The record is from Rfam by way of RNAcentral. Lineage: Eukaryota; Metazoa; Chordata; Mammalia; Artiodactyla; Bovidae.
UCCCUAAUGAUUCAGUGUCUAAGACUCUGUGCUGCCAAUGCAGGGGGUCCAGGUUCAAUCCCUGGUCAGGGAA